RNAcentral lists this ribosomal RNA (269 nucleotides) under uncultured bacterium. RNAcentral describes it as "partial 16S ribosomal RNA". It matches the Rfam family "Bacterial small subunit ribosomal RNA", at positions 336 to 622 of the family's 1533-position model. The record is from RNAcentral.
UUCCUACGGGGGGCAGCAGUGGGGAAUAUUGGACAAUGGGGGGAACCCUGAUCCAGCGACGCCGCGUGAGUGAAGAAGUAUUUCGGUAUGUAAAGCUCUAUCAGCAGGGAAGAAAAUGACGGUACCUGACUAAGAAGCCCCGGCUAACUACGUGCCAGCAGCCGCGGUAAUACGUAGGGGGCAAGCGUUAUCCGGAUUUACUGGGUGUAAAGGGAGCGUAGGCGGCAAGGUAAGCCAGAAGUGAAAGCCCGCGGCUCAACUGCGGGACU